Molecule: ribosomal RNA, 274 nt
Filed under: uncultured Bacteroides sp.
Lineage: Bacteria; Pseudomonadati; Bacteroidota; Bacteroidia; Bacteroidales; Bacteroidaceae
Description: partial 16S ribosomal RNA
Rfam family: Bacterial small subunit ribosomal RNA
Source: RNAcentral
AUGAACGCUAGCUACAGGCUUAACACAUGCAAGUCGAGGGGCAGCAUGAACUUAGCUUGCUAAGUUUGAUGGCGACCGGCGCACGGGUGAGUAACACGUAUCCAACCUGCCGAUAACUCGGGGAUAGCCUUUCGAAAGAAAGAUUAAUAUCCGAUAGACGAUGGGGAUGCGUUCCAUUAGGCAGUUGGUGAGGUAACGGCUCACCAAACCUUCGAUGGAUAGGGGUUCUGAGAGGAAGGUCCCCACAUUGGAACUGAGACACGGUCCAAACUCC